RNAcentral lists this ribosomal RNA (492 nucleotides) under uncultured bacterium. RNAcentral's name for it is "bacterial SSU rRNA". It matches the Rfam family "Bacterial small subunit ribosomal RNA", at positions 30 to 507 of the family's 1533-position model. The record is from RNAcentral.
AUUGAACGCUGGCGGCAUGCUUUACACAUGCAAGUCGAACGGUAACAGGCCUUCGGGUGCUGACGAGUGGCGAACGGGUGAGUAAUGCAUCGGAACGUGCCCAGAGGUGGGGGAUAACGCAGCGAAAGCUGUGCUAAUACCGCAUAUUAUCUGAGGAUGAAAGCGGGGGACUAAGCAGCAAUGUUUGGCCUCACGCCUUUGGAGCGGCCGAUGUCAGAUUAGGUAGUUGGUGGGGUAAAGGCCUACCAAGCCGACGAUCUGUAGCUGGUCUGAGAGGACGACCAGCCACACUGGGACUGAGACACGGCCCAGACUCCUACGGGAGGCAGCAGUGGGGAAUUUUGGACAAUGGGCGCAAGCCUGAUCCAGCAAUGCCGCGUGCAGGAAGAAGGCCUUCGGGUUGUAAACUGCUUUUGUACGGAACGAAAAGACUCUGGAUAAUACCUGGGGUUCAUGACGGUACCGUAAGAAUAAGCACCGGCUAACUACGUG